UCAACCAUGGAUUACCGAUAUGUAUUGGUUUCAAUGUGAUACCAUUGGUACAGUAACAGGUGGCGUGGUACCACUCUGGUACAGUACUGUCAUAACGUUGCAGCUGCAGAGGGAGUUAUGCGGACUGUGUGUGUUGGUCAAAGAGGUGGGAUUCCAGCUGGAUUAUACUUUCUCUGAUAUCGUAGUUUCACUCUACUCAUAGCUCCAGUUUUUAAUUAACAUGCACAAAUCACUGUAGACUAUCUGGGAGAAAUCAGAUAGAGCUGUCAUAGUGUGACAAAACCAUUGACUGCCCUCCACAAUAGAAAUGACUGGACCACAUCCACAGGGUGUAGCCACAGUAUAUCAGGCCAUACACAGUUAGUUGUCGGUGCAUUGGAUUGAAGAAAAUAUGAAUCACUGUGACUUUAUCAUUGGUGUGCCAGACAAUGAUACCUUUCUCACUCUGAACAAGAUGACCACAUCUAGUUUCUACCCCCCUGCUCCACAGCGCCCUCUAUCCCCGAUCUCAAGCUUUCUGGCCCCUUAGCCCUAUCGUGAGAGAUGGGUGCGAGGCAACGUGGAUCAGGCCUGAUUUGCAUUCAAAAGAGGAUUACCGAGGAAUCAACCAAAACAUUCUGCUAGCUGCUUAGAGGACUUUAAGCAGCUUCACUCGAGGAGGGAAUAAAGCUGGCAUUAGCUCCUCACCUCUGCUCCUCUUCCUGGGAGAGAAAGAGGGGGUACACUGCAUAAAACAACCCUCAACUAACUGAUUGUCAACAGCCAUGCUGUGGCACUGCAAUGGCGUCUCAACGGUUCAAAUAGUCAGAUUUCAAGAUUUCACCAAUUCUAACCAGUACUUCAUUGCUGUAACAUCAGUACCAGUGUGUUACCAUGUCUCUGAAAUAUUUGCUUUAAAUCCAUGGUGUUGCCACUAGUGGUAAAGAAAAACAAAUAUCUCUCUCUCUCUCUCUCUCUCUCUCUCUUCUCUCUUCUCUCUCUCUCUCUCUCUCUCUCUAUAUAUGUAUAUAUGAUACAGCUUCAGAAGGCACUGAAUCAUGACUGAUUACACAGAGAACAUCCAAGUACUGCUUGCUAAAAACAGACGCGGUAAAAAAAAAAAGGGACGACUCCAGCAUAAUGCUUUACAUUUAAAUGCUUGUGACGUUUUUGGAUGUCUCACCGUAGUCCUUAAUCUUUAAGUGCUAGACAACACUGUCUUCCAUUCUCCAUGCAGGGGCUGCACUUUCUCCUUCCCUGUCAAUCAGCUCUAAUCACAAGGUCACUCUUCUUAUCUUCCAGUUCUCACUUCUUAUCGCAAGCCUACACUUCCCUGUCCCUCAGUUCUAAUCACCAAGUCACACAGCUUACCUCCCAGUCAGCCCUAUGCACUAGGCCACACUGCUUCCUCUCAUUGUCUAGGCAUUACGCAGUGACACUAGUUGAAGUCCCAGUUGCUGUCUCAUAUAUAGGUUGAUUGUGCUCCACUGCAGCUCUGCCAGAGAGCACGGAGAGGAUGCUGGGAUAUUCUCUGGAGGACUUGAGGCUGCAAUUAGAGUUGGGGGAAGCCUCUCAAGUGGCCUGGCAUUCUGCCAAACGUCUCGGCUCUCUGCUUUGACAGGGGGUCGGCUGGGAACAGGAAUCCCUGACGGGCUCUUUUAGGAAUGCUUGUGCACUCUGCAUUAUGUCUGUCCGAACUGUCUCAGAGGGAUGGGCUUUCAUUACAUGGCAAACUCCACGUCCAAUCAGAGAUCUCCGUGGAGGGUCUGCUUACUUUGCAGAAUUAAACUGGGACAGAACUGCCCGGAAAUAACUCCCAGCUCUUAACGGACCAGCAAAGAGUCAUUGUAUUAUCUUUUAAUACUUGCUAAUCAUUCAAGCAGGUUUGAGGCAAGUUUCUUGCUAGUUAACUUCCCAGCAAGUACAUAUGGCAAAUAAAUAAUGACAUGUUUUUUCUCCUUUUUUUAUAUAAUUUACUACUCCAUUCAUUGCUCCCCUACUCUUGUCUCUUGUCCUGCUAUGUAUAAUUGUAUCAAUUUAUAUCCUACAUUUAAAAAUAAAUGUGCAUUUUUUUAUAAUGAUCAGCAAAAUGCAUAUAACAUGAAUCUGUGUUGUACUGUUUUAUAACAGUAUUAUUGGGCUUUUACACAUCUAUAACUCAUAACUGGUACAGCAGUACAACCUACAACCUACAACCUGCAAACUCUGCUGCCCGUCUUGUCUUUUCCCUUCCCCGUUUCUCCCACGCUGCACUGCAGUGCCGCUCCCUCCACUGGCUCCCUAUCGUCGCUCACAUCCAAUUAAAAACUCUUGUACUCGCCUAUCACUGCCUCAACCUUUCUGCUCCCUCCUAUCUCCGGACUAUCAUUUCUCCCUACACCCCCUCUUGCCCCCUCCGCUCCUCUACCACCAGCAGAUUAGGGAGAGUGGGACGGAAAGACCAGCAUUAUGGAGCCCUUUUGACUGGCUGAUCACACUGCAUUCAGUGGAAUUUAAUAAUUUAUCACUCUGAUUAAAGCUGACAUUUAGCAGGGAUCCUCCUAUACUCUCAAUGAGGUCAGCUUCUUAAAGGGCAGAUCCUGCUCUUCUCAAAGUCUCCACAGUCACUUCUGGCAUGUUUAUAUUUGAUUCCGUUGCUGUUAUUUCACCGUGGCGCCAGAGAACAUUUAUUAUUUUAUUUAAUGGCUCAUUUUUCUGCUUUGAUUUUUCCCCAAGGAUAGCCCCAGUGAAAUGUGUCUUUUAAUUUGUAUGAGUCACAUUGAAGGAAUCGCUAUGCCUGAUCCCGAGGAAGGACAAGUGCCACCAGUGGGGAUUGUUCCCUGGACCUUCAUCACGCACUACAAACAAGAACUUUACUGCUUGAACUAAAAAUAUCCACUGCAAUUCCCCGCACAGGUCAGGAGAACUGAAGGUUCAGUGGGCGUCCUCCGAUCACAUGACCAAGCCAGCUUCCUCUUUUACACCCAGGAACCCGAGAGCAGCUGGCAUUUGGAGGACAGAGGCCAGCCCUGCAGGCGUCCGCCUGAGCUCACUAGGCGCCUGGCCGUCAGGGUCUGCUGUAGCGCGAUGAGGAGAAACGGUCCCUGACGGUUUUGGCUCCCUAAUCCACGGGAGUGCCAGAGUCAAUGCAACGCUCCUUUCAGAAUCCCCAGUGAAGACCAGAGACUUCGCACAGCCAGGACGCAAACCUGCGCUCCCCUGACUGUGUGACUCACCUUGCACACCACACAGCUGUGCUUUUACCAGGUCAUUGUUUCACAAGCCCAUCAACUACCAGGAGAGAGGAGGAGGAGGCGGAGGAGGGAGGGAGAGCAUCAAGGCAACCUACCUUGCAAGGAAUGGGGUGUUCCUCCAGUGAUAUCAUUCAUAUCAUAACACAUGGUAUGUUAAACUGCAUAUCUGUUUGCAUUUGCAAAUAAAAUAUCUGAAAUGCAUGCUUGCCUUUACUCGUUAUAGCGACCCAAAUAUUCUUCCAACUGUGAUGUCAUCAUGGGAUAGAAACCUCGAAAGCUUCAAAGAAAAUACAGCGGCAAGAUUUUUCUUUUGUUCCUAAAACUUGGGUGGACGCUUGAACUGUGACCAAUCCAACACUUUCAUCUAAUUUAGUUCUCUUCUCAUCAAUUCAGCCGGAGUCAAGCAUUGAAUCAGAUUUUUUUGUAAAUAUUUUUGCUGUAGUAGGCAUUCAGUGCUUUUCAAGCCUGUGUAUUCAAUGCUUUUCAAUGGGCCAUUAUACCCAAUGGAUUAAUAAUAAAACAAUUUAAAUUUUUUAUACAGCGCCUUUCAUAGUGGACCACCAUCACAAAGCGCUUUACAGAGGUAGGCUGUGAACUGAUUUAACAUCUCAUCCGCUGGAUGGAGCACAAGGAGGUUAAGUGACUUGCUCAGGGUCACACAAUGAGUCAGUCAGUGGCAGGUUUUGAACCUGUGACUGUCUGGUUAUGAGCCCUGGACCUUAACCGUUGGGCCACACUGCCUCUUAAGGCUUGGAAAACCAUCUUGUUUCCUUUUCUAGGGUACAGGCUGUAUUAUGCACAUAUUUUUAGGUGAACUCUCAACCGCAUUGAACGUCAUUCUAAAGUAGGAUUUUGAGAAGAGGAAGUGAGCAAGAUAUAUAGAAAAGAGUGCAUAUCUAUGGGAAAAGCAUCAUUCAUGGAAGGGGUCAGUUACUGUUUUCAGUGUCUUGCUUUAUGACUGUUUUAAUUCACCAAGCAUCUUGAGAAACAUCAAAGCUAUGCUUUAAGAUGCAAUUUAAAUGUAAAUAUACUGUACUGUACAGAUGAAUGUGUUUUGAAUGCACAAUACAGCGAAACCCAUGCACAGGGUAUGAAUCAAGGGACUGGAGUAGCAGGACCCCUCUCUUCCCCAUGCACAGUUACAGGGUCACAUAUCCCCUGUCGUGAGUGAUGUAUGGUCAUUGUGAGUGUCUGCCUGUUGAUUGGGAGAAGGGGAGACCGUAGAGCUGAAUUUAUUAGGACACAGAGAGGCUUUUACUGCAGCAGACUAUCAGAAAAUCAAUUGGAAGAGAAUCCAUUUCAAUUUACAGCUGUUUAAAAUUCUUCUCCUGGUGUCUGUGGUUCCUGUCUCUCAGAGCAAUCUGCAUUCAACAGCGUGACGUUCCAAAGGGACACCCGUAAAAGCAAAGCUGGGAUUCGCAAAAAAGAGACUAAAGAGACUGGACCCCUGGCAAUGAUGAGCUACAUUGGGGUUAGAUAUCAACCCCUUUCACACUGCACUUUCCUUAACCACUGAGCUCCUCAAACCCACUGCCUUCCACACUGCAGCCCAGCACCUUCUCCAAGUACUGAGCAACUCAAACCCACUGCCUUCCACACUGCAGCCCAGCUACUUCUCUAAGCACUGAGCUACUCGAACCCACUGCCUUCCACACUGCAGCCAAUCACUUUCUUUCUCUAACCAUUUAGGUGCUUACACCCAGAAUCUUCUGCACUGCAGCCCAGAGCUCCAACCACCAAGCUAUUCAGGUUUUGUGUGAUGUGUGUAAUGUGCUGUGAUAACAUACUGUAUAUUUCCUGGAUGUACUGUAAAGCCGAGUAUACACUACAUGUCUCACAAAAUGCUGUUUCCAAACACAAGUAGACCUGACUUCAACGUCAACCACCUUGUCUUUACCUUACACCUUGCAGUAUAAGCAACUACAAACAAUAUUGCUUUACUUCAAACAAGUAACUGGCUUGUGGAGCUAUACCACACUGUACACUCUCCACUCUGGGGAAAGGAGAAUGCUUCUCCUUCCCCCAUUAUAACUUUAAGUUGGUCUUACAUUGUACAUUAAUAAAAAAAUAAAAAAAAAACAGACGAUCAACUUCAUUGCAGAAUUGAUUGGGAGGACAUGCUGAAGCUGGGUUGUCAAGCUUCUGUGGCCCUUCUCUUGGUGUCAGUCCAGGCUGUCUGGCUCUGAAGGGACGCUCCUUCUCUUUGGGCUUGGAUCCAGUGGCCUGCAGUGUCAUUCCUCAUCCCAGCCCUGCUGUCAGCGUUAAUAAGGAACCAGAGUGGGGACAUUAAUCAACAGCAGGCUGCAACACAAUUCCUCUGAGAUUAAAAAUCGCCUCCCAGCCCUCGAACAUCAGAUUUUACAGUUUUACCGCUAAAUGCAUUCCGCUCUGGGCCUCACAAAACACAUUUCCCAAUGCCUGGUCAUUUAUUAUCGUCCAAGUCUGAACUCCUGUUACGCUGUCGGACAGAUAACACUCCCUUAGAACACUCCUGUCUGUGUGUCCCACACUCCCUCACUCACUCCCUCCAUACCUCACUCACUCACUCCCUCAAUCACUGAGAGCAAUGGGUUUCGGUGUGGGAGUAAUCCUCACAGUUUCGGCUGGGUAAUGUUGUUCACAGUGCGUAGCUGGAGGAUCUCAAUAACACUGAAAUGCCAGGAACUCCCCAGGAAGCAAUCAGCCUGAGAUCCUUUUAUUCAAGCUACUAAAUUUUUUACGAGUGUGGGGCUACAGCAAUGCUCUGCUGCAUGCUAAUGAGCACUGUGGCUUUGUGCUCUGUAGUGACCUCUACUGGAGAUACCCUGUCUGCGUGGGACAGGGAUUUCUUGUGUAGCACCAGGCUGUCAGGAUGACACUGAUUCACAAGAUGUUUAAAUUGUUCCGAAGGGACGUUUUUUCCCAGGUCUUUUUUCCCCGAAGUUUCCCAAUCCCUUUUGAGCCUGUUCCUCGUGAAACACCAAUAAUUAAUGCAGUCGUGGACAUAGAAGCAACUGCCAAUUGUAUGCCAGAUCUGCAGAUGCAGAAUUUGUAUAUCUCAUAAAUUGUCACGGAUGUUAAUUGCACAAUGAAUCACUGAAUUCAUGUUACAGUUUAUUGAUAGUAAAGUGGGCUGUUCCAUACAGGCCAGUAUUGCAAGGUCACAUGUGUGGAAUGCACACGGAUAUAAUCCUGAGCCUUUGUCAGACACAGCAAUUCAAUAAAGCUCUUUGUCUGCUGCUGCUGCUGCUGCUUAUAAUCAAUAGGGCUGGGAGCACAGUGAUUAUUCUCUCUGGUGCUGGUUCAGUCAAUAAUUGAAUUUCCCGGAUUGCAUGGGUGGCAAUGGACUCUUCUUUAGGGAGGCAAGGGGCUGGCCCUGACUUAUAUAAGACAAUAUAAUUACUGCAUUAUCGAAGCCUGCUAAUUCCCUUCUCUCUUCCCUGCCAUUAUCCCACAUAAUUAUUGCAGUCAGAUGUGUCAAUAAUGUGAAUUAUCUAGCCAGCUCUGUGUGUUCUUGAUCAACGUCCAGAGGUUGUGGAAGCGUGCUAUUAGCAGGGGAACCCACUCAUAAACCUUUACUUGUAAUGACAGUGUGUUUGAAUCAAAGAGUGCGGGUGUUCCCUCAAAGCACUACAAAGUAGCGCAUUUGGGUUUGUUCUAGAAAGGUGCAAAAUACAUGAAAGAAAGCGUUUUUCUCUUUGCGUCUUGGUGCAAUAGUAAGCGAUUGUUGAAGGAAAGGGGAAGACAAUGGUUGCAGAGGCCGGUGACAGUAUGAAGGUGAACAAGCUAUAUCAACCAAAAGAGAUACGUAGGAUGAAGUGCUAAGGGGUAGGGCGUUCUAAUACACUGUUCACACUCUGUAUAUGACGAAUUCCUGGGAAUGAUAAGGUGAUGCAAUAUUACAGACUCUGUAUAAUGAGGCUGGAUUUCUGCUUACCUUAUUUAGCAGUGAGUGCUGAUGGAGUGCAAACCCCUGGAUUGUUUAAUCACAUCAACAGCAAUUCCUACAACCCACUCACUACCAGGGACUGCAAAGUUAGUUGCAUCCGGCUAUAAGCUUAGGAGAGGCUACUGGUUUACUCUAAUACAGAUGUGCACAUGAUAAUGCAUUGGGCUAUUGUAACUGUUUACAUGUUAGUGUAGCAAGUGAAAAGGAAACCCGUUUUUAGCUAUAGAGAGAUGUUUGAUUUAUAAUAAUCUUGCAUGGCUCACAAAUAAGACUUGGAUAGUCUGAUCCCUUGCCCCAAAGAGCCUGUGAAUGGUGCUGUUCUCAAGCCCAUCUCUGGUGUUGCUGUGUGGUGCAGUACUGUAGGUGGGUUACGCUUCUAUAAGCUGUACUAUAAACUUCGUACGACAGAGCCCUGCUUUGCCUCUCCAUAUAUGGAGCACAGCUGAGAGAGGCAGACAGCUUGUCCCUGCUGCAGACCGCAGAGGUGCAGUGAGGUGACCCCCGAUAGCUCCAAGACAGAAACAACGCGUCUCCACCCCAGCACGGAACAUACCUCAACCACAUAAGGAAGAGACGAGAGAUGGUUUUGAAUGAAGCCGGUUCAGGGGAGGGGGGCUGGCAGUGUGUCUCUGUUUAAUGUACUGAAUUCAUCAUCUCCACGUCUGCUUCUUGUCAUACUGUCAGCAAGAGGAAGGAGAGCAGACACUUGAGUGUGGAUCUCUGAGAAAUAAUAGGCUGUUUUCACAGAUUUUUAAAUAGAUUUGUUAACUCAUUGGUACCCAGCUUUUCUCAGUCUGACGAGU
Molecule: long non-coding RNA, 7943 nt
Organism: Acipenser ruthenus (sterlet)
Lineage: Eukaryota; Metazoa; Chordata; Actinopteri; Acipenseriformes; Acipenseridae
Exons: 3
Source: RefSeq, a predicted model, not a curated record